RNAcentral lists this long non-coding RNA (1179 nucleotides) under Citrus x clementina. RNAcentral describes it as "Citrus clementina (C. clementina) long non-coding RNA (CCLE_LNC001785)". Lineage: Eukaryota; Viridiplantae; Streptophyta; Magnoliopsida; Sapindales; Rutaceae. The record is from RNAcentral.
UAUCCAACCAUCCUCCAUAACCAACUUCUCAAAUCAACAUAUCCAUAUCAUCCUAAUAUUAAAUUACAUCGAUUACAUAAAAUAAUAAAAUAACACAACUCGCAAAAAUCCCAAAUAUAAUACUAAUUAAAAUCCACGACUCCUAGCACCAUCACGUUGCCACAAUAUCACACUAACGUUCGCUACUGGGUUGACUGAUGUACCUGUAACUCUCCUGUGGGGGGAAAAAUAUAAAAUAAUAAAAGAGGGGUGAGUAUAAAACUCAGUGAGCUCAGUGAGUGGAUAGUAGUUACUGACAAUUUAAUAAAUUUAUUUAAAAUGAUUUAAUCUUUCUCAAAUCAAUUUCUCAAAUCGUUUCUCAAAUCAAUUUCAAUUUCUCAAAAUAUCAUAAGAACUUGCUCAAACUCAUUUAAUGCAAAUCAGUUCAUUGAAACACUAUAAUACAUAUAUUCGUAUAAAAUCGAUGGAAUCAUAUAAUACUCAUCAUAUCAAAUACUGAAGACUAAAAACUGUCAUCAAACAAGUACCCAAGGGAUAAUCUGAUCAUAUCCGGACCUCGACGGACGGGCAAUGACGUACUAUCUGGGUAGCGUCACGCCCCGGAGCUACAACGGAUAGAUGGGGACGAUCUCAUCUCAUAUCUCAUAUAUCUGUACUGUGCAUGCAUAAGCCCCCAAAAGGCAAAAGCGCCCGAACACACGGCCCAAAGCCUCUAUGUGUGUCCCGACGGGCCCCAAAGGCCUCUAUCUCAUCUUAUCUGUAUCUCUUUUCUGUAUCUCUUUUCUCAUCUCAUAUUAUCUGUUUCUCUGUAUCUGGAGGGAAGGGUACUGUCUAAUGAUUUCAAAAAUAACAUAUACAUAAACAUAGAAUCUCAUCCGAAAUCUCAUUUUCUUUCUAUUCAACAUAUCUCAAAAUCUGCUCAAUUCUAAUAUCAUGCCUUUACUAAAAAAAAACGCUAAUAAAAUCAUUAAUCAAACUCAUUCUCAAUAACAAUAAAGACCGACACAUAGAUAAAAAUUAAUUUACCGGAAAAUCAUUUAAUCGAAGCAUUAAAUACUUAUCAUAAAAUCAGCAUAUACUAUGAAAAUAGGUUUUGUAUAUUCCACUCACAGUGAUGAUGUCUAGACUCGGUAUCAACAACGUCCGCGGGUUGAAUCUCGUUCGCGGAUGCGGAUCCUC